RNAcentral lists this ribosomal RNA (468 nucleotides) under uncultured bacterium. RNAcentral's name for it is "partial 16S ribosomal RNA". It matches the Rfam family "Bacterial small subunit ribosomal RNA", at positions 28 to 507 of the family's 1533-position model. The record is from RNAcentral.
GACGAACGCUGGCGGCGUGCUUAACACAUGCAAGUCGAACGGAAAGGCCCUGCUUUUGUGGGGUGCUCGAGUGGCGAACGGGUGGGUAACACGUGAGUAACCUGCCCUUGACUUUGGGAUAACUUCAGGAAACUGGGGCUAAUACCGGAUAGGAGCUCCUGCUGCAUGGUGGGGGUUGGAAAGUUUCGGCUGUUGGGGAUGGACUCGCGGCUUAUCAGCUUGUUGGUGGGGUAGUGGCUUACCAAGGCUUCGACGGGUAGCCUGCCUGAGAGGGUGACCGGCCACAUUGGGACUGAGAUACGGACCAGACUCCUACGGGAGGCAGCAGGGGGGAAUAUUGCACAAUGGGCGGAAGCCUGAUGCAGCAACGCCGCGUGCGGGAUGCCGGCCUUCGGGUUGUAAACCGCUUUCGCCUGUGACGAAGCGUGAGUGACGGUAAUGGGUAAAGAAGCACCGGCUAACUACGUG